This is a long non-coding RNA of Podarcis raffonei (Aeolian wall lizard), 4225 nucleotides long. RefSeq lists it as uncharacterized. The record is from RefSeq and is a predicted model, not a curated record. Lineage: Eukaryota; Metazoa; Chordata; Lepidosauria; Squamata; Lacertidae. The transcript has 2 exons.
ACCAGAUUAGUCUUCAGGUCCGAUCUGCCAGGAAAUUCUCCCCUGUAAUCUGUGCAGGAGCUUAAUAAUGGGGCUUGCACAAGAGAACAUCCUGGUGGGUUGUGCCUCUUGCCUCACAGACCAUCGUACCUUUAGAUCAAAACAGCCUUCUGAGGCUGACAUUAUUUAGCUUUUGAUGUAAUCUUCAUUUGGGUUUUUAAAAUGUAACUCUAAAAAGCAAUAUGCUAUCUAACAAUUGGCGCUGUGCUGUGUGUUACAAUUGUUGUAGGAUACAUCUUUAAACACCUGUGUAUGCAUGUCAGGUUUCCCAGAUGUGUGUACUGGAGUGUUUAAACAUGUGCUCACAUGCAUGUUUGUUCUUUUUUUUUUGGCAUCGUAUGCAUUUUGUGCUGAAAAUGCCUGUGUAACACCAGUAUUUCAUGCAACAGUUGCAUUGUGUAGCACUGCCACCAAUACCUGGAGAUACUACUUGAAUAUUUAAGGGGAUGUCUGUGAGACUUCUAGUAACCUGUGGAGUUGCAUCUAUUCUUCACAUGCCCUUCGUAGAGGAACAUUCAGAUUUGUCAAAAGCCUUGUUGAAGCAAGUACAUGUGAUUGUUUUUUAAAAAUAAUUAUAAAGAGCAAAUUAAGAGGUGAGAUGACUUUAAAAGCAGACUCCGUGUAGGAUGUGCUUUGUAACCCUGGUAUACUCCAAAAGCUUGUAUGGGGAGAAAAAUUAAAAGACAAUUAUAGUUUUGUGUUGCACCAUGGGAGUUAAAGAAAAGUUUGAAGGAACAAGUAGACAUAUAUGUGGAUUUUUCUGUUUAUUCACAUUCUUAGUGGCAGUGAUAGGUUAACCUGGUCUAUUUCAGACACCUUGGACCUGUUCACAUAUUUCUCCUGUCCAAGAAAUACAUUUUUUUAUCAGGUGGUCAGAGAGUACCAAGUUAAAUGUUGUAAAGGCCAUGUUACCCCUUGCUUUCUCCUCGUGGGGGAGGAGAGCCAAGAGCCAGGACCUGCAACAGGUUAAGAUUUCUCCCUGGCAAGUAGCAACUGAACAUAAUAUAAUUCAGAUAAAAUUUGUUCUGCAUUAUAAAUUUAGUUUCCCAAAGCCGGCACAAAAUUGGUUUUAACAACAUUUAUCGCGCAUGCAUUGAUAAUGAUAUUUGAAGAGUUUCAAGCUUAAAUUGAGAGGCUUGUGGAUGCUAGAAUUAUUUGGUUUGAUUGCAGAAAGCUUCAACAUUAUAACGUUGUUUAUAUGCACAGAUCUAAUUACAAUACCUGUAAAGACGUCCUUAAAAUAACUACUUAAAGCAUGGUCCCCAGAGAAAGCCAAGAAAGUUUCCGGUCCAUUUCCUUUUUUUGAAAUUCAGAUCAUUCAUUUAGAAAACGAAAGCAGCAUUUUUUCGUUCACUUAAAGUUUGGUUAAUGGGCAUCAAUAAGAAAUGACGAAUUCUCAGGAAACAUAAUAAAACUACUUGCCAAAAUAAUGAUAAUAAUAAUAAACACCCAUCCAACCCCAACCCCUUCCAUAAGUAAAUCUUGACUAAAAGAGAUGAUGCUAAUUAAUAAUGUUUAAUAAUGUUAGUUAUUGGCUAAUAUUUAAUCUCCCCCCCCCUUUUUUGCAAAUGUAACUCCUUGUCCUCAAAUGACACUAAAUUAUUUAUAGUAUUAAAUGUACACCUUUCUAUAUUGUGUGGCUAUGCAGUCUGUGAGUGUAUCAGUAAAAGUGACUUUGGGAUCUCGGUAUCCAUAGCUUCCCAUGACGAUUGGUUUGUUCACCAUGGCACUGACCUUGAUUCUGUUUGGGGCUGCUAGGGCUUGGACCUCCUGGAAGGACAACAUUCCCCUUUCACUUAAACGUUAAGGCAGUCCACAACAACAAAGGUUAUAUGUGGAGUCUGGCAUUUUGCAUUGAAUUGAAUGAGGAAGCCCUUGCAUUCCAGGGAGCACAUCUGUAUGUACAAGAAGCUCUGCGUGGAGCUGAAGUUGCUUCCCUCCCCCCCAAAAAACCCCAUUCAUUGGAUUAAAUAAAUUGACGUGUCCAUUAUAUUUUUAACACAGCUUGGAAUAUGUUAACAUAGAUAAAUGGGGAAGAUACGUAAUAAUCACGAAUGAUUCGUGAGCUAAAACCCUUAAUUUUAUCUUUUUUCUUCUUCAAAUGACCAGAUUUUAAAUGCCAAUACAUGCAUUGUGGCUGAUCAUAUUCAUAGAUGCUACCAGAAACUUUUAGGCCAAAAACAGUGUGCAGAGCAAUGCUAACGUAACAAAAACUCCUGUAUAUGUUACAAAAAAGAAAAAAAAGAGGCAGCCAUCUGACAAUUUUCAGUAACUUGGCUUCUUUUUACUGUAGCGUGUUUAUAAUUGGAAUGGUGAAGGAAAAGGAGGAAAGGGAAGGGGAGAAAAAAAACAUUUAAAAGGAUGCUGCCUCUUGCUUUGACACGGUUUUGUGUCUAAGGGCUCUAAUUAGUUGGGGCUGAUAGUUGUUGGCUUGGAAACAUUGCUUAGCCUCACAUGUUGCCAUUGUCUGGGGACAUCUGAGCUCCUUUGCAAAAGUAGAAAUAGCACGGUGUUGUCUUGUGUUUGGCUGCAGUCUCAUUUCGGCCGGCUCUUGCGCCGCUGGAGUGCUGGCCGAUCCCUUCUCCAGUGUGUCGAUGCAACCGGGAGGAUGAGCUGGGGGAGCGAGAGGAGUGCAAGAUAUGUAGAGGGUUGAAAUUGUGCCCUUGAUGUUAACAAUGUGCCUUUUGUUACGAACAACACCAUGUUGUGGAGCAUGCAACGUUGUCUAUUUAACCCUUUGAACGCUGUACUAUGUAGUAAGGUUGAAAUCUUAUUUUUUUUAAAAGCACGGUACCUGUCUUAAAUACGUUUCCAUGAGCACAAUCCACUAGGAGCCUCUCCCGCCGUUGCAUACGCCCCGGUGAAAUGAAGGGCAGUUCUGCAAGAGCACUCCAGGGUCCUUUUUGGGGCGACCCUCGGUUAUAUCCAUUGGACAUGAGCAGGAGAAGUUUCUGGCUGAUUUUGCCCUGUGUUUUCAAAGCCUUAAUAUAGAUCAUAAGGCAAUCCUACUACUUAGUGAUGGAACAGAAUACUCUCUUGUAGGAAUUUUCAUGCUCUUUCAAGGGUUAAAGAUGGCACCUCGUAGUAGUUAGCGGUAACCUUAACAUCAGACUGGUUUCUUUUCUUUUAAGAACUAUGUUUUUCUUUGUUUUGUUAUGACAGCACUAGGCAGAAUCAACUGUAUUUGUAAAAAGGAAAAAAAAUUACCUCAAACUGUUUCAUUUUAUAGUGAGAAUUAAUCCCAGGGCAUUUGGUAUGAACCAAAGUGCAUUCCUUUUCUACGUGCCUGGCUCCAAUAAACGUGGCCAGGGGUUUUUACAAUUUGGGUGCAAGGCAUUUUAAUGCCCAUUUUACCUUGCUGGGUGGUUUGGGGUCAUGAAGGACUCCUUAGGAAUGUUUUUUUCUUUUUUAAAUGGCGCUUCAUGGCUACCAUCAGGCAGCCUCCAUUUAUUAGAAUGGGACUUGUGUGAAACCGUGUGGAAGUGCCAUUGAAAUGAAUGGAGGCUGGACAGCAACAAUUGUGGGAGGGUUGUGUUUAUUAAAGUAGCAACGGGCUGCGUUAUAAUCUUUAGGCACAUGUCGGAGUUCUUCGAUUCUGUCUAUUUUUCAUAAAAAUCUUUGGUUUUCCAAACAGAGGUAGCUGGUAAACAUAAAUCCGUUUUAAGAAAGAUUUUUAUGUAAGUAAAUAUUUUUGCAUUGCCCACUUGAGAUGCUACAGUAGCAUUGAAAUAAAGAAAGCAUUUGUGAAAUAACAUUGUUUCUAGGGGGCUUGUACAUCUGUGCUACAAAAUACAAAGUAAUAUGAAAAAAGUCAUCGUAUUUACUCAGCUCCACUGCUACAAUUACGUCUAAGGUGUACAUUGGAUUUCUUUUUCUUGAAAAAUAAAGAGCAACAACUUAGACACGUGACUGUAAUAUGCUGCAACUGUGUGUACUGAAAACAUGUGAAAAAAAAUGACUGAAUGUGGAUUGUGUAUAUAUGUAUGUAAAAAUUUAUGUGAGAUGCUGCUGCUGUCAACAGCCACUUCACAUUAAAUAUGUUGUAGUGGGUUUUAAUUCUAGUGGCCAGUUUUAUAAUACUUACGUAUUGUAUAGCUGAUGACAGGAGUUAAGACUGUUUUAGUGAAUGUUUGUUACAUUUAUUGUUGUGGCCAGAGAUCAUUUCAGAAUAAAAAAUUAUGUCCUA